GACGUAGGGCGCGAGCGUUGUCCGGAUUUAUUGGGCGUAAAGAGCUCGUGGGCGGCUCGUUGCGUCGGCUGUGAAAACCCGCAGCUCAACUGUGGGCUUGCAGCUGAUACGGGCGGGCUUGGAUUCGGUAGGGGGGACUGGAAUUCCUGGUGUAGCGGUGAAAUGCGCAGAUAUCAGGAGGAACACCGGUGGCGAAGGCGGGUCUCUGGGCCGAUAUCGACGCUGAGGAGCGAAAGCGUGGGGAGCGAACAGG
RNAcentral lists this ribosomal RNA (253 nucleotides) under uncultured bacterium. RNAcentral's name for it is "partial 16S ribosomal RNA". It matches the Rfam family "Bacterial small subunit ribosomal RNA", at positions 524 to 776 of the family's 1533-position model. The record is from RNAcentral.